UGGGGAAUAUUGGACAAUGGGCGAAAGCCUGAUCCAGCCAUGCCGCGUGUGUGAAGAAGGUCUUCGGAUGGUAAAGAACUUUAAGCUGGGAGGAAGGGCAUUAACCUAAUACGUUAGUGUUUUGACGUUACCGACAGAAUAAGCCCCGGCUAACUCUGUGCCAGCCGCCGCGGUAAUACAGAGGGUGCAAGCGUUAAUCGGAAUUACUGGGCGUAAAGCGCGCGUAGGUGGUUUGUUAAGUUGGAUGUGAAAUCCCCGGGCUCAACCUGGGAACUGCAUUCAAAACUGACUGACUAGAGUAUGGUAGAGGGUGGUGGAAUUUCCUGUGUAGCGGUGAAAUGCGUAGAUAUAGGAAGGAACACCAGUGGCGAAGGCGACCACCUGGACUAAUACUGACACUGAGGUGCGAAAGCGUGGGGAGCAAACA
This 427-nucleotide ribosomal RNA is filed under the name uncultured bacterium. Its description in RNAcentral is "partial 16S ribosomal RNA". It matches the Rfam family "Bacterial small subunit ribosomal RNA", at positions 355 to 774 of the family's 1533-position model. The record is from RNAcentral.